UUAAAGUCUAACCUGCCCACUGAAAAAUUUAAAUGGCCGCAGUAUUCUAACUGUGCAAAGGUAGCAUAAUCAUUAGUCUUUUAAUUGAAGGCUGGAAUGAAUGGUUGGACGAAAUAUUAACUGUUUCAUAUAAAUUUUUAAUAAAAUUUUAUUUUUUAGUUAAAAAGCUAAAAUAAAUUUAAAAGACGAGAAGACCCUAUAAAUCUUUAUAUUUUUAUUUAUUUUAAUUAUAAAGAUUAUUUUUAUUAUAAUAAAUAAAAAUAUUUUAUUGGGGUGAUAUUAAAAUUUAAAAAACUUUUAAUUUUUAAAACCAUUGAUUUAUGAAUAUUUGAUCCAUUAAUAAUGAUUAAAAAUUUAAGUUACUUUAGGGAUAACAGCGUAAUUUUUUUGGAGAGUUCAUAUCGAUAAAAAAGAUUGCGACCUCGAUGUUGGAUUAAGAUAUAAUUUUGGGUGUAGCCGUUCAAAUUUUAAGUCUGUUCGACUUUUAAAUUCUUACAUGAUCUGAGUUCAAACCGGUGUAAGCCAGGUUGGUUUCUAUCUUUAAAAUAUUAAAAUAUUUUAGUACGAAAGGACCAAAUAUUUAAAUAAUUAUAUUUUUAAUAAGAAUAUUAUUAAUAUAA
RNAcentral lists this ribosomal RNA (620 nucleotides) under Drosophila polychaeta. RNAcentral's name for it is "partial 16S ribosomal RNA". It matches the Rfam family "Bacterial large subunit ribosomal RNA", at positions 1845 to 2758 of the family's 2925-position model. Lineage: Eukaryota; Metazoa; Arthropoda; Insecta; Diptera; Drosophilidae. The record is from RNAcentral.